RNAcentral lists this ribosomal RNA (435 nucleotides) under bacterium. RNAcentral's name for it is "bacterial SSU rRNA". It matches the Rfam family "Bacterial small subunit ribosomal RNA", at positions 450 to 883 of the family's 1533-position model. The record is from RNAcentral.
CGGCUAAUACCUGGUUGGGAUGACGGUACCCAAAGAAUAAGCACCGGCUAACUUCGUGCCAGCAGCCGCGGUAAUACGAAGGGUGCAAGCGUUACUCGGAAUUACUGGGCGUAAAGCGUGCGUAGGUGGUUGUUUAAGUCUGUUGUGAAAGCCCUGGGCUCAACCUGGGAACUGCAGUGGAAACUGGACAACUAGAGUGUGGUAGAGGGUAGCGGAAUUCCCGGUGUAGCAGUGAAAUGCGUAGAGAUCGGGAGGAACAUCCAUGGCGAAGGCAGCUACCUGGACCAACACUGACACUGAGGCACGAAAGCGUGGGGAGCAAACAGGAUUAGAUACCCUGGUAGUCCACGCCCUAAACGAUGCGAACUGGAUGUUGGGUGCAAUUUGGCACGCAGUAUCGAAGCUAACGCGUUAAGUUCGCCGCCUGGGGAGUAC